RNAcentral lists this transfer RNA (75 nucleotides) under Bacillus thuringiensis. Its description in RNAcentral is "tRNA-Glu". It matches the Rfam family "tRNA". Rfam says of the family: Transfer RNA (tRNA) molecules are approximately 80 nucleotides in length. Their secondary structure includes four short double-helical elements and three loops (D, anti-codon, and T loops). RNAcentral also lists the same sequence under 1 other name. Lineage: Bacteria; Bacillati; Bacillota; Bacilli; Caryophanales; Bacillaceae. The record is from RNAcentral.
GGCCCGUUGGUCAAGUGGUUAAGACACCGCCUUUUCACGGCGGUAACACGGGUUCGAAUCCCGUACGGGUCACCA